AUCUCUCUCUCUCGAAAAAAAAAAAAAAAGAAACUUAAAAACAACCAACAAAAGACAGUCAUUACCAAUGCUAAUCACCAUGAGUUUCUAUUUUUCACAUUUUAGAAAAAAUUUAUGCUUAAUCCCGCAGGUAUUGAGAAAUGGAUCCUGUCUAGGCAAUUGUGGUGGAGCCUCACCACUGUAGAAACCAUAGGAUUUUUCCAGGUAUCCAGUCAAGUAAUGUUAGUCUCUCCUGACAACAGUGUUGACCUUGAAUUAGUGCAAGUGUGCCAGUGGAGUUGAGGUGUUGCCUAACAAUGGAAGGGAACAAGUUCAGGUGCAGGAGUCUUGAGAGACCACCUUGUAUCUGAAACACAUUUCAGUUUGUUUCCUCAGGUUGCUGUGAAGGAAACAGAGUGAACGGAAAAUGGUUCACACACCCUUGCUGCUAAGCAGGUAAGUGUUAAAGUGAGUCCUUCUAUAAUGAAGUCCUCUGAACUUCAUUAUCUACGUAGGUGAGGAUGAUGUCCCUAACGUUGGUGGUAAUGUGUUUCUUUGUUGAAAAUUCUGUGAGUAUCAGGUUAAGAUCUUUGCUAGUAUGCAGGUAUGAGAUGAUGAGAUAUUAACUGAUUAAAGACCUUUGUUUUAUGGUGUUAUUUUUAAGUAAUUUCUACCCCCAACAGGGGACUCGAACUCACAACUCCAAGAUCCACAGUCACGCGCUCCACAGACUGAGCCAGGUAUGUACUCCUAAAGACAUUUCUAGAUUGAGACAACUAUAGACUUGUGAUUUCAAGUCCCUUACGUGUACUUUGUUUUUGGCAUGUAUUCAUUUGAGUUUAAUUGGUCCCUAACGAUACUGGGAGCAAAAGGAUUUUUUUUUUUUGUAUUUCUGUUUAAAAAUAUGUACCUAACGUACAAGUGAUACAAGGAUUUGCAGAUAUCCAGGAAAUUUAUCAUUACGUCCUUCCGUACUUUAUUGACCAUGGAAUUAUUGCAAUACACCUUGAAGAGAGGAAGAUUUGUCUUCCUAGGGAUUGACCUUGAAGUUUCGCAAGGAUCCAAGGUCCUGAAAUGAUAUAGUGACCAACGGAAUUGGCAGGUGUAGAGGUACAGUGAGACACGCCCAAAAUAUUUUUAGCAAUGUUUGUUUUUUUUUUUCUUUCCAGACUCCUAUCAAUGAAUCACCCUGAGCCCAGCAAUGGUGGCUAAAAUGAGACAUUGCUGAUGUCACAGUAAGUGAUGACAUGGUCCUAAGCCAUGGCACCGACCAUCUGGUCUUCAGAAAGCUAGGUGAGAGCUGAUGGUGUCCCUAACACUAGUUGUUACCAUGAAUUCUCUGCAGGGAUUCAGGUAGGAAAUGACAGAUUCCUUACUAAUCCUUGAAACCAUGAGUUUUAGUGUUUAGAGAAAAUUCUUUAACUCUAUUGAGGGAUUGCGCAUAUCAGAUGUUUGUCAUGAUGUCUCAACCACACUAGUGAUGGUGGAAAUUUUGCAGGUGCUCCGUAAAAGUUGUAUUAACUGACAAUGGUCUUGACCUUGGAGUCCUGCAGCUAUUCGAGCAGAGGUAAUGCUUUCAUAAUGAUGGAAAUGACCCAGUUUAUUCAUAGGUGCCCUGGUAGAACAAGCCGUGUCCUUUUACACAUGUAUCAUAGUGUGUUUUUUCCCAGAUUUCCUGUCAGGAGAUUAUGAUGAACCUCACAUUGGUGAUUCUCUGGGACAUUUCUGUUCCCCAGAUAAGUGGUGAUGUUCACCUUCACUGUUUGAAACUAUCUGAUCUUCUCACAUCUAGAUCAGUGUUACUGUUGGACUGAACUUAUUUCCCGUGUGUGUUUUUUUUCCCCUAGGUCCUUAGGUAAGAAAUGACAGCGUUUUACCAAUUACAGGAAUCAUGCUGUUCUACUGUUGUCUAUUUCUGGGGAAAUGGAUAUUUACGUAUGUGUUGGGUGAAUUCUGACGUGAAUAGCUAUAAUGGUGGAGUCGUGUGGUACAGGAAUACCCUUGGUGUUACUGAAGGUGAGCAGGGAAGAGGUGAAGGUGUGGCUAUCUUUGGCAUAGACCUUGAAGGACUGCAACAGUCCGGGAAGAGCUGAAGGGUCCUGCAGUGAUGGCAAUGAACAAGAUCAUAUGCAGUGUCCUAGUAGGAGAGGAGUGUCCAUGGAUGCAUUGUUCACAAAGUGUUUUUUAAAUUACCCUCAAGAGGUCAUGGUAAAUUUCAAAAUGGUCGUUGAUGGGAUUUUAUUUCUAUUCAGGUACAUGAUGAUAUGGGCCUUAAGCACCCUGUACAUUGAUUUUCAGGUAUUUAGUAAGGGUAGAUGGUGUUCCUAACUGUUCUGUUACCAUGGGUCUAUGCAGGUGUUCUGUUAAGACAUGAUACUGUCCCAACCAGUGCUGGUAAGUAUGAGCCCUUAUUUUUUUAUGUUUUUCAAUUUAGAUAUAAUGUGUGUUUAAACUCAGUAGUGAUAAAGGAAUAUGAAUUUCCAGGGAACUUCUCUGUUGCACAUCAAGUACUGACCAUGAGAUUUAUACCAGUACUCUUAGAAGAGAUCUUAGUGUGUCUAACAAUGGCAUUGACCUUCAGGUUCAGGCAAAAUCCAUCUUGUGUCAUGUUUUCCCUAAUGACAGAAGUGACCCAGAAUAUUCACAGAUACACUCUUUGUUUUUGCAGGUAAACAAGUUGUAUCCUGCCAUGGGCUUGUUGAGUAUGUUUCUCAAGAUUCUAGCAGUCCUGACAUCACAGAGACCCAGACCGUGCUUGUCAGUGGGAACUUGCUGGUAACCAGGUAUGUGAUAAAGUGGGUCUUAUCACAUUACAUGUAUCUGAUCCUCAGCUCUCGAGGUGAGUGAGGCUAGUGUCUCUAGCCCAGUGUACCGUGCUUUUUUGAAAGUUUCCUAUUGACUUCUUUGCUAGUUUAGCGAUAGGAGAUGCUGUGGUAUUAACUCAUUAGGUACAUUGACUUGAGAACAAGUUUGUUUGACCCUAUGAGCGUUGAGGGAUAACACAUAUGCAACUAUUUACGACCGUGUCUUCCCCACAGUCCUCCCCAUGGGCUUUCUGCUGGUGUCCAGUGAAGUGACGCUGAGUUUGUCUGACAUCAGUGUUGAUCCUUGAUUACUGAAAGUACCAGGUGGAGUUUGUGUGCCUAUCAUGACGGAGUACCCAGGCUAUUUCCAGAUACUGGCUAUCACAAGUUGUUUCCUUUCACGUAGAUUUCAUAAUGUCUUGACAGAAACCUGAAAAGACAUCACUGUACGCCUGACAUGGAAGGAGAUGGCAGACGUGGCUGGUAUGUCCGCCGGUAGGUGAGGAUGUGGGCCUCAACCCCGGCACAGGCCGUCUGAUCUCCAGAUAGCUAGCAAUAACCAUGAAAAGGUUGCAGGUGUCCUGUGAAGACAUAUUAUCCUAACUGGUGAUGAUUUUGACCUUGGAGGACUGCAAGCAUUCAGGUAGAGCUGAUAUGUCUCAUGAGGAUAAAGUGACCAAGGUUAUUGCAGGUGUCCUGUUAGAACAAGUUGUGUCCCGUUACACAUGUGUUGUAUUGUGUUUUUUAGGUGCCCAUCAACGAGUUCAAUGCACCUGACAAGGGUCAUCAAGGCGGGGACAUUUCUGGCCUUCAGGUAUAUGAUGAGGUGUACCUUCACUGUAUCAGACCCUCUGAUCUUCAGGAAUCUAUUUGUGCUAAGUUUUGUUAAUUGCUUGAACUUGUUUACCAUGUGGGUUAUGUGAAGCAUUCUGGGAGAAAUGAUAGUAUUGUUACCAAGUCUAGCAAACAUAUUAUCCCACCAUUUGAUGCUUUAGAGGAAAUUGACAUUUAACCAUGUGAAUAUUUAGUGAUUCAUGGCUAUUCACGUAACAAUCAUGGAGUUGCGGGUCACAGGCGUUACCAUGGUAUUUUGGUAGGUGAGCGAUGAAGGCAUAAUGGCGUCUGACAGUGGCCUAGACCUUGGCGUACUGCAAGACCCCAGGUGGGUUUGAUGGGUCCUACAGUGAUGGAAGCAUACACAGAUACUUCCCAUGUCCUGGUAGAGGGGGUCAUUCAUGGACCCGUUAUCAUAUGUGGUUUUCACUUGAUCUUAGCCAAGACUCUGAGGACUGAUAUCACAAUGUGUUUUUCCCGGUCCUGUCCAGAAAUCACAGUGAGCCUCAUAAUGACCAGACCUAGGACUGUGCCUUUCCAGGUGAGUGAUCACGCGGGCCUUCACCCUGGAAACAACCUAGCCAUCUGAUAAGUGGAUAAGUGUGGAUGGAUUUCCCAAGUUGUUGUUAGUAUGCUUUUGUCUUUGUUUUCUUUUUGACAGGUAUUCGGGUAAGGAAUGACACGCUCCCCACAAAUGGUAGGAUGCAUGCUAGUGAGUAUUUUAAAGUUUAGAUAGAAUGUGUGUUUAGCCCUAGUGGUGACAGAGGGAUACACAGGUGUGCAAGUCCCUUAUCCUACGGGGCCACAGCACAGUCAUGAGCCUGAAAUUUUAUAGGUACUCAGGAGAUGAUGGUUUCUCUAACAAUGGAGUUGACCUUGAAGUUCUAGUUCCUCCAAGAUCCAAAGUGUUGAUGAUUCCUCUAAUGAUGGAAAUAUCUUGCAUGUCAGUUGUGUUUUUUCAGGUCAUGGUAGUUAGUCAUGUUACAGUGACCCUGGUUAUGCUCUUUCAUGGGACCCUGCUAGUCACCUGGUAAGUGGUAUUGUGGAUGUGACAGUGUAGUUGAGAUCACCUAUUCUUGAGAAUUCUAAGUAAGUGAGGAUGGUGUCCCAAACACUCAUCACAGUGUUAACAUGUUUUUUUCCUGCAGAAAUCAUGUUAAAGUCUUUGUGUUGCACAGAUAUGUCACAUUAACUCAUUAGACCUCCCUAUUUUCAGAUGUGUUUGUAAUUAAUGAUGUUUUGAAUGCUCUUACAUUACACAUGCUUUUGGCUUAUAUGCAGUAGUUUAAUUUGUAAACACCGUAUUCUUGCAGGAGUCCUGAUAAAACAUGAUGGUCUCUCUGAUAAAAGUGUCGACCCAAAUUAAAGGAAUCCUCAAAGUAGAGUUGAUUUGUUCCAUAAUAAUAGAAGUAAAAAGGAUUAUUAGCAGGUGUUCUGGUAGAACAGUUUGUACUUCAACAGACGUUUUCAGUGUGUUUGUUCAGGUUCUUGUCGAGAAAACCCAGUGAACCUCACCAUAUUCACUGAUGGAACCUUGCUCUUAACCUGGUAAAUGAUAAAGCGGGUUCCACCACAUUCCAGACCACAUGAUCUUCCAUAGGAAGGUGGGUGAGGUUGAUGUCCCUGACAUUUGUGGUACCAUGUUUGUUUGCAGGUAUCCCAUUAAGGCCUUCGCUACUAUGCAGGUAUGAGAUGAUUUGACAUUGACUUAGACAUUAUUUUCAGAGCGCUGUGUGACUAACGAUAUUAUUCAGGCUCUUACAUAACUUAGUGUUAGACAUGUAGGCAGUUAAGACAUUCAGUUGUCGCUAACAAUCAUAGUAUGCGUGAGAAUUUCUUGUUUAGAGAGAAUGUGUUUUGGACUGAUAGGGGGACUUUCAGACACCCAGGGAAUUCAUCAUACUGUUCAUUGUUAUGUUACUAACAGUGGGAAUUUUCCAGGUAUUCUUCAAGAGAAGGAGGUGGCUCCUACUGCGGGCUGACCUCAGAGUUUUGCAAGUAUUCAGAUUCAUGUCAAGACCUCACCGUGAGCUUACCAAUGAUAACAUGGGACAUUGCUGUUACAAGGUAAGUGUUGUGGGCCUAAACCAUAGCACAGAUCAUCUGAUCUUCACAUACAGAGGUAAGAGGUGAUAAGUAUCUCUAAUGCUUCUUGUUAACACGCUUCUUACAAGGAUUCAAUUAAUGAAGGACAGAUUCCAACCAAUUCUGGGAACCAUUGUUUCUCAUACUUUAUAUUGAAGCGAAAAAUUAUGUUUACCUCUGUGAGUGUUGAGGGAUUGUGUGUAUCCAAAUAAUUGUCGUGAUGUUCUGUCCCAAUAAGUAACCAUGGGAUUGUUAUAAGGGUCCCGUUAUUAAAUGAUGGUGUUCUGUGAAAGUGGUGUUGACCUUGAAUUAAUCCAAGGAUCCAGGUAGAUUUAGAGAGCUUCAGCUUAAAAAAAAACAAAGCUCUAUCCCUUAAUACAUACUUCAAAAAAUGUUUUUAGGUUCUUGUCAAGAUACCAUGAUGAACCA
Long non-coding RNA from Felis catus (domestic cat), 6131 nucleotides. RefSeq lists it as uncharacterized. NCBI's taxonomy places the organism in Eukaryota, Metazoa, Chordata, Mammalia, Carnivora, Felidae. The record is from RefSeq and is a predicted model, not a curated record. The transcript is spliced from 3 exons.